GACGAACGCUGGCGGCGUGCUUAACACAUGCAAGUCGAACGGAAAGGCCCUGCUUUUGUGGGGUGCUCGAGUGGCGAACGGGUGAGUAACACGUGAGUAACCUGCCCUUGACUUUGGGAUAACUUCAGGAAACUGGGGCUAAUACCGGAUAGGAGCUCCUGCUGCAUGGUGGGGGUUGGAAAGUUUCGGCGGUUGGGGAUGGACUCGCGGCUUAUCAGCUUGUUGGUGGGGUGGUGGCUUACUAAGGCUUUGACGGGUAGCCGGCCUGAGAGGGUGACCGGCCACAUUGGGUCUGAGAUACGGCCCAGACUCCUACGGGAGGCAGCAGUGGGGAAUAUUGCACAAUGGGCGGAAGCCUGAUGCAGCAACGCCGCGUGCGGGAUGACGGCCUUCGGGUUGUAAACCGCUUUCGCCUGUGACGAAGCGUGAGUGACGGUAAUGGGUAAAGAAGCACCGGCUAACUACGUG
This 468-nucleotide ribosomal RNA is filed under the name uncultured bacterium. Its description in RNAcentral is "partial 16S ribosomal RNA". It matches the Rfam family "Bacterial small subunit ribosomal RNA", at positions 28 to 507 of the family's 1533-position model. The record is from RNAcentral.